RNAcentral lists this transfer RNA (74 nucleotides) under Oscillospiraceae bacterium. RNAcentral describes it as "tRNA-Gln". It matches the Rfam family "tRNA". From Rfam's summary of the family: Transfer RNA (tRNA) molecules are approximately 80 nucleotides in length. Their secondary structure includes four short double-helical elements and three loops (D, anti-codon, and T loops). The record is from RNAcentral. Lineage: Bacteria; Bacillati; Bacillota; Clostridia; Eubacteriales; Oscillospiraceae.
GAAGGUGUAGUCAAACGGUAAGACAACAGACUUUGAUUCUGUGAUUGUGGGUUCAAUCCCCACCGCCUUUGCCA